AGGUGCCAGCCUGUGUCAGCCAUUCUGAAGGUUCUCGCUUGUCUCGAGUGGUCAGCUUAGUCUUGACUCGCAAGUUUUCUCACAAGAAGGACGAUUUCGAAGUGCCGAAGCAACAAAGUAUCCUGUUGAUUCCCAGCUCGCCUAUUUCAGGAAGAAAAACAGAAAUCACGAUGGUGUUCAACACGGGAUCAGUUGUGAUCACGAACCGGAGAAUCCGGGUGUAUACCGGAGGUGUAGGUGUGGACUGCGGGUACAACAAACAAGAGGUGACCUCAUCAAGCAGACCGAUCUCUGAACAGCUGAAAUCCGCACUGGAAGCCAUCAAGAAGACGUUUCAACGGUCAGACCGGGAAAGGCCGUCGACAACAGCUGUUGAACACGAAAAGCAGGUAGCGGGACACUAGCCUGGGGCGUCGGGCGCUGCAGCAGGGGGCCGGCGGAGAGGCGUGCCAUGUAGGGCCAACUGGGGGCUAUCCAGGGCCCACGAACAGUCCUUUCUACCUCGGGCGCUGAAAUUAUUGUCUAAAACCUGAUCUUUGUAUCAUCUUAGUAUGAUGUUAUUAUGAAAGUUCACCUGUGUUGGCAGUUACAUGUUUAAAGUUAAAACUUUUGAUCCAACACAAAAAGUUCUCUCACCUAGGGCUUUUGACCAGUCACUCUAGUCUUCCUCAGUAGAAUGAUCCAGUGAGGCUUGUCAUGUAUGAUGUUAUCCAUAUCUGUUCAUACUGAUUUUUAAUGUUUUAGCUGAUGUAUACAUUGUUGUGAUAAACCUUUGUACUGUAUUUUAAUUAACGAUAACAAUGCAGACAUGUGUAAGAUUUAAGGCAAGCUUUAUCUAUUUUAAUAAUGGGCGAUAUGUCGUAAAUAUUGUAUGUACAUGAUCGGUCAUUUUAAUGUAAUACAUGUACUAUGUACAUCUUUAUGCUAUUUAAUGACAAGACAGUUCACCAGAACCUUAUGCGUUUUAUGUGUACACAUGUUUAAAGUUCACAUAUGUGUACAAGCAUACAAUGUCAAUAAAGAAUAUCUUGAUGGAAAAA
Branchiostoma belcheri (Belcher's lancelet) is the source of this 1040-nucleotide long non-coding RNA. RefSeq lists it as uncharacterized. The transcript is spliced from 3 exons. Lineage: Eukaryota; Metazoa; Chordata; Leptocardii; Amphioxiformes; Branchiostomatidae. The record is from RefSeq and is a predicted model, not a curated record.